Molecule: ribosomal RNA, 585 nt
Filed under: uncultured bacterium
Lineage: Bacteria
Description: partial 16S ribosomal RNA
Rfam family: Bacterial small subunit ribosomal RNA
Source: RNAcentral
UGGGGAAUUUUGGGCAAUGGGCGAAAGCCUGAUCCAGCAAUGCCGCGUGUGUGAAGAAGGCCUUCGGGUUGUAAAGCACUUUUGUCCGGAAAGAAAUCCUUGGCUCUAAUACAGUCGGGGGAUGACGGUACCGGAAGAAUAAGCACCGGCUAACUACGUGCCAGCAGCCGCGGUAAUACGUAGGGUGCAAGCGUUAAUCGGAAUUACUGGGCGUAAAGCGUGCGCAGGCGGUUUGCUAAGACCGAUGUGAAAUCCCCGGGCUCAACCUGGGAACUGCAUUGGUGACUGGCAGGCUAGAGUAUGGCAGAGGGGGGUAGAAUUCCACGUGUAGCAGUGAAAUGCGUAGAGAUGUGGAGGAAUACCGAUGGCGAAGGCAGCCCCCUGGGCCAAUACUGACGCUCAUGCACGAAAGCGUGGGGAGCAAACAGGAUUAGAUACCCUGGUAGUCCACGCCCUAAACGAUGUCAACUAGUUGUUGGGGAUUCAUUUCCUUAGUAACGUAGCUAACGCGUGAAGUUGACCGCCUGGGGAGUACGGUCGCAAGAUUAAAACUCAAAUGAAUUGACGGGGUCAUAGCUGUUUCCU